Molecule: ribosomal RNA, 419 nt
Filed under: Sisymbrium officinale
Lineage: Eukaryota; Viridiplantae; Streptophyta; Magnoliopsida; Brassicales; Brassicaceae
Description: eukaryotic LSU rRNA
Rfam family: Eukaryotic large subunit ribosomal RNA (bases 279-419)
Source: RNAcentral
UGCAGAAUCCCGUGAACCAUCGAGUCUUUGAACGCAAGUUGCGCCCCAAGCCUUCUGGCCGAGGGCACGUCUGCCUGGGUGUCACAAAUCGUCGUCCCCCCUAAUCCUCUCGAGGAUACGGGACGGAAGCUGGUCUCCCGUGUGUUACCGCAUGCGGUUGUCCAAAAUCCGAGCAAAGGACGCAAAGAGCGUCCCGACAUGCGGUGGUGAAUACAAACUUCGUCAUAUUGUCGGUCGCUCUUGUCCGGAAGCUCUUAGAUGACCCAAAGUUCUCAACGCGACCCCAGGUCAGGCGGGAUCACCCGCUGAGUUUAAGCAUAUCAAUAAGCGGAGGAAAAGAAACUAACAAGGAUUCCCUUAGUAACGGCGAGCGAACCGGGAAGAGCCCAGCUUGAAAAUCGGACGUCUUCGGCGUUCGA